GGGCAGGUGUCUGAGUGGUCGAAAGAGCACGAUUGGAAAUCGUGUGUACGUCAAAAGCGUACCGAGGGUUCGAAUCCCUCCCUGUCCG
This 88-nucleotide transfer RNA is filed under the name Akkermansia sp. Its description in RNAcentral is "tRNA-Ser". It matches the Rfam family "tRNA". From Rfam's summary of the family: Transfer RNA (tRNA) molecules are approximately 80 nucleotides in length. Their secondary structure includes four short double-helical elements and three loops (D, anti-codon, and T loops). Further hydrogen bonds mediate the characteristic L-shaped molecular structure. tRNAs have two regions of fundamental functional importance: the anti-codon, which is responsible for specific mRNA codon recognition, and the 3' end, to which the tRNAs corresponding amino acid is attached (by aminoacyl-tRNA synthetases). tRNAs cope with the degeneracy of the genetic code in two manners: having more than one tRNA (with a specific anti-codon) for a particular amino acid; and 'wobble' base-pairing, i.e. permitting non-standard base-pairing at the 3rd anti-codon position. Lineage: Bacteria; Pseudomonadati; Verrucomicrobiota; Verrucomicrobiia; Verrucomicrobiales; Akkermansiaceae. RNAcentral also lists the same sequence under 1 other name. The record is from RNAcentral.